AACGAACGCUGGCGGCGUGCCUAAAACAUGCAAGUCGCACGAGAAAGUAUUUAUACGAGUAAAGUGGCGCACGGGUGAGUAACACGUGGAUAACAUACCUUCGAGACUGGUAUAACAGUUGGAAACGACUGAUAAUCCCAGAUAAAGUUUAGAAUACAUUGGGGUAUUUUUGAAUGAAAGCGGGCCUUCGGGUGUCGGCUUGAAGAGUGGUCUGCGUCCCAUUAGCUAGUUGGUGAGGUAAAGGACUCAUCCAAGGCAUUGAUGGGUAGCUGGUCUGAGAGGACGAUCAGCCACACUGGGACUGAAACACGGCCCAGAUCCUACGGGAGGCAGCAGUUUAGGGAAUAUUGCGCAAUGGAGGGAACUCUGACGCGAGCGACGCCGCGUGAGCGAAG
Molecule: ribosomal RNA, 395 nt
Filed under: uncultured bacterium
Lineage: Bacteria
Description: bacterial SSU rRNA
Rfam family: Bacterial small subunit ribosomal RNA
Source: RNAcentral